UCCUCUUUACAGAGGCAGUUUCGCUCGAGUCCCCGGCAUUAUCCGCUGGUAACAAACGAUGAGGGUUGCGCUCGUUGCGGGACUUAACCCAACAUUUCACAACACGAGCUGACGACAGCCAUGCACCACCUGUGCCCCACCCUCGAAGGCGACUCCUUUUCGGGAGCUUGCAGGGGCAUGUCAAGCCCUGGUAAGGUUCUGCGCGUUGCGUCGAAUUAAACCACAUGCUCCACCGCUUGUGCGGGCCCCCGUCAAUUCCUUUGAGUUUUAGCCUUGCGGCCGUACUCCCCAGGCGGGGUGCUUAAUGCGUUAGCUUCGGCACGGAAGGAGUCGACACCUCCCACACCUAGCACCCAUCGUUUACGGCGUGGACUA
RNAcentral lists this unclassified non-coding RNA (375 nucleotides) under uncultured bacterium. RNAcentral's name for it is "contains 16S-23S intergenic spacer region". The record is from RNAcentral.